GUUCCUAAAAGGUGCCUUGAAAAUCUUCAGGUGAAUGCCAUCAUGACACCACCCAUGAAGAAUAGGAACCCUAGAUCAAAUUCUUCAUAUGGAUCAAAAUCUUCAUAUGGACCAAAAUCUUCAUAUGGACCAAAUUCCUCACGCGGAUCAAAAUCCUCAUAUGAACAUCAUCGUGCUAACACUUCUGUUUCGCAGGGAAAGUCUAAGGGCCAUGAAUAUGUGCAUUAUUCUUUAAACCAUUAUGUUCAUAAGUCCUCGAAGAAUUUCUCUGCUUAUUCAUAUGCUUAUCCUAACCACUCUUCUGUGAAAUGA
Molecule: ribosomal RNA, 312 nt
Filed under: Triticum aestivum (bread wheat)
Lineage: Eukaryota; Viridiplantae; Streptophyta; Magnoliopsida; Poales; Poaceae
Description: partial small subunit ribosomal RNA
Source: RNAcentral